CAUUUGGACUCGGGAUCCAUAGGAGACUGGAACCUGGACUGCAGGGACCCGACGCUCAGGAGGUUGACACUAACUCCUCAGGAAAAUCCCUGCCUCUUCUACUAUCGAGACUGAUGUAUGUUUCUGAUUCUGCUAACCAACUGGACACGUGUUUUUGAUGAUACAACAUGAAGCAGAAAUGGGAAGAUGAUCUGAAAUUACUUCUUAAAUCAGAUGACUGGGAUGAAUUCGGAAGAGAGCCAAGGAACAUGGGAUUUUGCUUUUCCUAAGAGUGAUCUCACUUAUGGUGGUUGAGGGGGUGAUCUGUACCCCUGCACAUGUGGAUGGAGUCUAAAGAGGAGCAGAGGACAAUUGUCCCAGCUAAUACCACCCCAAGUCUUUCUCCAUUAGUGAGUGACCUGUAAUGACCCUGCAGGAGGGGACAUGUCGUGGCUGGACUCAAAGCUGUGUUCUGCUGACCAGGCAUGGAAGACCCUGGCCUUGCCCUGGUUUUAAAAUAGAGCUAUAAGAGUUUACAAAGGGAGAAUGAUACUCCAGCUUUUUAUCAGUCUACAGGGGGUUCUGUCCACUCAAAGUCUUGGAUGGGGCAUACUUUAGUGUGAGCCUCUAAAAUUUUCCUUAUAGGGGAUCAAACUGUAUCAGUGUAUAUUUUAUUUGUCUUGUGUGCGUAAGAGAAAGCCCAGCAUAGUGUAAGUUCAGAUGCUUCUUAAUAGAAAGGCCCAAGGAAGGUGGAGCUUCAGUAUUUUACUGACAAUGUAUUGGAGAUGAUUGUAGGGUCCAGGAAGGACUUUACAGAGACUCAUAGAUUUUUCGGGCAGCCAUUCCUUAAAUUCACAAAGCAUGAAAAUUGCCUAGAUCUGGGAACCUAAGAAUAGAUGUAUUAGACCUCUUUGCAGGAAACAGAAACCACUCUAGGUGUGUUAAACAGAAAAGGCUUUAAUACAGGGAAUGGAAGACCUAAAGAAACAGGCUUUAAACUGGGCUUCUGGAAUCAUUCCUGUAAGAAUAUAGAACUGGACAUUGGGAGAGCUGUAACCUCUGAGGCUGCUCCUAGGGCUGACCUGAAAGCAAGAAGCUGCUGCUGCGUCUGCUUCUGAUGGAAAAGGAGCACUCAAAACUGCCAUCUGGGGAUUAGGAAGCCAGACCAAGACACCCAGGAACUGGAGGAUGGACCCUGGGCUGUCAUUGCUGGAAAGCCCUAUGUCUCUGUGCCUACGCUGUGGCAGCAGCGGUCAGGUACUGCAGGAAGAGGGCACCCACCUCACUACUGCCUUUUAAAGGUAUCUGUUUGGUGCAGGCUAACUUUUAUCCAGACCCCUGGAUGCACGGAAGCUUUGAAAAUGCCUUCUAACUCUUCCAUCUGACAGAGGAGAGGGCAAAUGGGCCUUUCCAGAGAGCCCAGCAGAGGAGGUGACACCAACAGGUGCUGGAUGGCUAAAGUCAAUUUGUGCAAAAUUAAUUCUUCAAGAAAUGUUUGAGUCAGAAACACAUCACACUUCGGGUGGGUAAAUUGUGGAAAGCAGCCAUUUCUCCCAGUUUCAACGUGUGACACUAGCUCCUUCUGUUUCAGCUCUAUGGUACUUUGGUUUGCGGCCUAGAACAAGCCUCAGUUGCCACAGUUGUGAAAGGAGACGUGACAAGCUUGAAGGGGUGAUUUCUCUUUUAGCUCACAGUUUGGUCUUGAGCUGGGCAUGUCUUAUAAGCACUUCUGUGAAAAGCAAUUCUUUGUUCUUGGGUUUGCCAAAUUUUAGGCACACUUCACUGGGUGAUUUUCUAAGAGCUCGUGGAGAUCAAAGUGAAUUAGGAGGAAGAAAAACUUGUGGAAAGGUUGGGGAAGCACUAGAACAGUGGGCUAUUGCACAAACAGCAGUGUCUGGUAUGAGGCUGGCAUCAUAGUUUCCAGGCUCUGUUCUGUUUGCUAUCUCCAGCAAGCCUCCUUUUGCAGAUGAGAAAACUGAGGUCGGGCAGCUUUGUGACUUUGGGGAUGAUGUUUUAGAGACCCCAUGACAAUGGUAGGGCUGGGAUACAGACGCAUGUGUCCCAGUGCUCUGGCCCCAUGACGUGUGAACUCCACCCACCAUCAUAAAGGGCACUGUCUAUUUGGAAGUCCCCCGGUCCCUAGCUGGGCUCCUGGGAUGAAGAGGAGGAUAGGGAGGGACAUGGCGGGUGUAAGCUAGGGUCCUGUUCUGCCUGCUACCCUGGGCUGCAGGGAAAUGCUGGUAAAUGUUUAACAACUGACACCCUUCCCCACCAAAAAUAAAAAGCCCCAAGUUAUAGC
RNAcentral lists this long non-coding RNA (2278 nucleotides) under Homo sapiens (human). Its description in RNAcentral is "long intergenic non-protein coding RNA 299". The record is from RNAcentral. Lineage: Eukaryota; Metazoa; Chordata; Mammalia; Primates; Hominidae.